RNAcentral lists this transfer RNA (85 nucleotides) under Hepatica maxima. RNAcentral describes it as "Anemone maxima tRNA-Ile". It matches the Rfam family "tRNA". From Rfam's summary of the family: Transfer RNA (tRNA) molecules are approximately 80 nucleotides in length. Their secondary structure includes four short double-helical elements and three loops (D, anti-codon, and T loops). Lineage: Eukaryota; Viridiplantae; Streptophyta; Magnoliopsida; Ranunculales; Ranunculaceae. The record is from RNAcentral.
GCAUCCAUGGCUGAAUGGUUAAAGCGCCCAACCUAUACCAACUAAUAAAGGGGCAAAUUCGUAGGUUCGAUUCCUGCUGGAUGCA